Ipomoea nil (Japanese morning glory) is the source of this 115-nucleotide long non-coding RNA. RefSeq lists it as uncharacterized. The record is from RefSeq and is a predicted model, not a curated record. The transcript is spliced from 3 exons. Lineage: Eukaryota; Viridiplantae; Streptophyta; Magnoliopsida; Solanales; Convolvulaceae.
AAUUAAUAAUUAGAUAGGGUUGCCUUUAAUAAAUUACCUUUGUUUAUGUAAUAUGUAUUGCAUGUAUGUUAAAUACUUAAAUCGUCUCUUAAUAAAAUGUUACAUACUAUAUAUA